Molecule: ribosomal RNA, 676 nt
Filed under: uncultured Alphaproteobacteria bacterium
Lineage: Bacteria; Pseudomonadati; Pseudomonadota; Alphaproteobacteria
Description: bacterial SSU rRNA
Rfam family: Bacterial small subunit ribosomal RNA
Source: RNAcentral
CGAACGCUGGCGGCAUGCCUAACACAUGCAAGUCGAACGAAGGCUUCGGCCUUAGUGGCGCACGGGUGAGUAACACGUGGGAACCUGCCUUUCGGUUCGGAAUAACGUUUGGAAACGAACGCUAACACCGGAUACGCCCUAUGGGGGAAAGUUUACGCCGAGAGAGGGGCCCGCGUCGGAUUAGGUAGUUGGUGAGGUAAAGGCUCACCAAGCCUUCGAUCCGUAGCUGGUCUGAGAGGAUGAUCAGCCACACUGGGACUGAGACACGGCCCAGACUCCUACGGGAGGCAGCAGUGGGGAAUAUUGGACAAUGGGCGCAAGCCUGAUCCAGCAAUGCCGCGUGAGUGAUGAAGGCCUUAGGGUUGUAAAGCUCUUUCGCACGCGACGAUGAUGACGGUAGCGUGAGAAGAAGCCCCGGCUAACUUCGUGCCAGCAGCCGCGGUAAUACGAAGGGGGCUAGCGUUGUUCGGAAUUACUGGGCGUAAAGGGCGCGUAGGCGGCCUGUUUAGUCAGAAGUGAAAGCCCCGGGCUCAACCUGGGAAUAGCUUUUGAUACUGGCAGGCUUGAGUUCCGGAGAGGAUGGUGGAAUUCCCAGUGUAGAGGUGAAAUUCGUAGAUAUUGGGAAGAACACCGGUGGCGAAGGCGGCCAUCUGGACGGACACUGACGCUGAGGCGC